Molecule: signal recognition particle RNA, 147 nt
Filed under: Homo sapiens (human)
Lineage: Eukaryota; Metazoa; Chordata; Mammalia; Primates; Hominidae
Description: Metazoan signal recognition particle RNA
Rfam family: Metazoan signal recognition particle RNA
About the family: The signal recognition particle (SRP) is a universally conserved ribonucleoprotein. It is involved in the co-translational targeting of proteins to membranes. The eukaryotic SRP consists of a 300-nucleotide 7S RNA and six proteins: SRPs 72, 68, 54, 19, 14, and 9.
Source: Rfam by way of RNAcentral
GCUGGCAUGGUGGUGCAUGCCUGUAGUCCCAGCUACUCAGGAGGCUGAGGUAGGAGGAUCACUUGAGCCCAGGAGGUCAGGGCUGCAGUGAGCUAUGAUGGCACCACUGCACUCUAGCCUGGGCAACAGAGUGAAACCCUGCCUCAA